CCUACGGGUGGCAGCAGUGGGGAAUUUUGCGCAAUGCUCGUAAGAGUGACGCAGCGACGCCGCGUGAAUGACGAAGGCCUUCGGGUCAUAAAGUUCUUUCGACAGGGAAGAAAAUGCAUAUAAGUAACUGUGUAUGUAUUGACGGUACCUGUAUCAGCAGCCCCGGCUAACUCCGUGCCAGCAGCCGCGGUAAUACGGAGGGGGCGAGCGUUGUUCGGAGGGACUGGGCGUAAAGAGCACGUAGGCGGUGGUGUAAGUCAUUAGUCAAAGACUAGAUCUCAACUUUAGUAAGGCUAGUGAUACUAUAAUACUCGAGUAGCAGAGAGGAAUGCAGAAUUCCUGGUGUAGCGGUGAAAUGCGUAGAUAUCAGGAGGAAUACCGUUAGCGAAGGCGGCAAUCUGGCUGGAAACUGACGCUGAGGUGCGAAAGCGUGGGUAGCAAACAGGAUUAGAUACCCCUGUAGUC
This 465-nucleotide ribosomal RNA is filed under the name uncultured bacterium. RNAcentral's name for it is "partial 16S ribosomal RNA". It matches the Rfam family "Bacterial small subunit ribosomal RNA", at positions 338 to 795 of the family's 1533-position model. The record is from RNAcentral.